AUGGCAAAUUUUUUUUGGAGUAGCUCUCUUGACAAAAAAGCAAUGCACUGGGUAUCCUGGAAAGCGUUGACUACACCAAAGUGCAAGGGAGGGAUGGGGUUUCGUGACCCACAUCUUUUUAAUCUGGCUAUGUUGGGCAAACACGGCUGGCGUUUUAUUACCAUCCCAAACUCGCUUUGUGCUCGAGUUCUAAAGGGCCGGUAUUUUCCAGACACGGAUUUCUUGCAUGCCACAAUACCCAAGUCAGCUUCGGCCACAUGGAGGGCAAUCGUGGCAGGAAGGAAUGCCCUCAAUACUGGACUAAUAUCUAGGGAUGGAGACGGAUCCACCAUCUCAGUAUGGGAGGAUAAAUGGAUACCG
RNAcentral lists this ribosomal RNA (360 nucleotides) under Triticum aestivum (bread wheat). RNAcentral describes it as "partial small subunit ribosomal RNA". Lineage: Eukaryota; Viridiplantae; Streptophyta; Magnoliopsida; Poales; Poaceae. The record is from RNAcentral.